GCUACAAUUAAAAUAGAGGUUCAAAUUUUAGCGCUCAAUCUUAACGCUAAACGGUCACUCGGUUUUAUGGAAAACCAAUGGGUUAGAAUAUUUAUAUUACAAAUAAAAAAUACAAUUAAAAAAGAGGUUAGAACACUGAUGUGGCACGUAUGCAUUGGAAUCUUAUCACUUAUCUUGAAUAGAAAUGAUCAGUUAUAUUCAACGUUCUCUGAGCUAUUUAAAUAUCUCUUUUGGAUUAUCAAGGAGAACUUUGAGCUAUUUAAACAUCUAAUUACCAACUCUUUGUUUCAAAGUAUUUUCCUAUUUUAA
This is a non-coding RNA of Vicia faba (fava bean), 309 nucleotides long. Lineage: Eukaryota; Viridiplantae; Streptophyta; Magnoliopsida; Fabales; Fabaceae. The record is from the annotation of a GenBank genome assembly.